GACGAACGCUGGCGGCGUGCCUAACACAUGCAAGUCGAACGGAGUUAAGGAGCUUGCUCCUUAACUUAGUGGCGAACGGGUGAGUAACGCGUGAGGAACCUGCCUUUCAGAGGGGGACAACAGUUGGAAACGACUGCUAAUACCGCAUAACGCGUAGAGGUCGCAUGGCCUUUACGCCAAAGAUUUAUCGCUGAAAGAUGGCCUCGCGUCUGAUUAGCUAGUUGGUGAGGUAACGGCCCACCAAGGCGACGAUCAGUAGCCGAACUGAGAGGUUGAUCGGCCACAUUGGGACUGAGACACGGCCCAGACUCCUACGGGAGGCAGCAGUGGGGAAUAUUGCGCAAUGGGGGAAAUCCUGACCCAGCGACGCCGCGUGAGGGAAGAAGGUCUUCGGAUUGUAAACCUUUGUUAACAGGGACGAAAAAAAUGACGGUACCUGAAUAGAAAGCCACGGCUAACUACGUG
This 465-nucleotide ribosomal RNA is filed under the name uncultured bacterium. Its description in RNAcentral is "bacterial SSU rRNA". It matches the Rfam family "Bacterial small subunit ribosomal RNA", at positions 28 to 507 of the family's 1533-position model. The record is from RNAcentral.